This 465-nucleotide long non-coding RNA is filed under the name Carica papaya (papaya). Its description in RNAcentral is "long non-coding RNA (CPAP_LNC012365)". The record is from RNAcentral. Lineage: Eukaryota; Viridiplantae; Streptophyta; Magnoliopsida; Brassicales; Caricaceae.
AGAAAAUAUGUAUAUAUGUAUAUAUAUGUGUAAUGAAAGAGCAGAAAAAAAAAGAAAAAAAAUAGAGGAAGAGAGCUGAGUUCGAGUGGGUGAGAGAGGAGGCUGAGCUGAGUGAGGAUUACGGCCGAAAGAGAGAAGUGAGGGGAGGAGCCUUGGCCACGUGAAGAGGAGGAUUAAGCGGCAGUCGAGGAGGUGAGACACGGCAGAAAGGGAGACGUCGCGGGAAGAAGAGGAAAAAGAAAAGAAAAAGAAAGAAGAAGAAGAAAGAAAGAAAGAAAAAAAAAGGGAAGAGAAGAAGAAUGAGAAGAAGACAGAGAAAAAUCAUGGUUGGGUAGAGAGAGAAAGAGGAGAGAGAGAGAGAAAAAAAGGAAGAAGAAGAAGAAUAAAGGAAAAAGAAAGAAUAAAGAAAAAAAGAAGAAAAAUAGGAGUUACAGGAAAGGAGGAAGAAAAAGAACAAAAAGAAAG